RNAcentral lists this ribosomal RNA (253 nucleotides) under uncultured bacterium. Its description in RNAcentral is "partial 16S ribosomal RNA". It matches the Rfam family "Bacterial small subunit ribosomal RNA", at positions 524 to 776 of the family's 1533-position model. The record is from RNAcentral.
UACAGAGGUCCCAAGCGUUGUUCGGAUUCACUGGGCGUAAAGGGUGCGUAGGCGGUCGGGUAAGUCUGGCGUGAAAUCUCCAAGCCUAACUUGGAAACUGCGUUGGAUACUAUCCGGCUCGAGGAAUGGAGGGGAGACUGGAAUACUUGGUGUAGCAGUGAAAUGCGUAGAUAUCAAGUGGAACACCAGUGGCGAAGGCGAGUCUCCGGACAUUUCCUGACGCUGAGGCACGGAAGCCAGGGGAGCAAACGGG